CAAUAAUGUUGUAGCUACUACCGCCACACAACAAUUUAGCAAAUCAAAGUUAACUAUACAAUUGGUUUGAAAUGCCUUUGACUGUCAAAGAUUACACAUGGACACAGACAGAAACGAUUGUUUACAUAAAUGUACCAUUAAAAGGAGUACAUUUCCCCCGUUUUUAUUUGAAGCCUUCCUGUUUGAGCCGAUAGAUGAUGACAAAAGCACAGCAAAAAUUGGAAAUGGAGUUGCAGUUUUCACAUUGCAGAAAAAGGAGACUGUGGGAGAACCUUGUGAUUACUAACAGUCUUCAAGAUUACCAGGCUGCUUUGAAGAUUGAUCCUCAAAAUGAAACUCUGCAAACUGACACAAAAUCAGACAAAUCGUCCAAGGGAGUGCACCCUGUCCUGAAUGAAUAAAUAAAUCUUAAAUACAUUUGGAAAACCCUGUUUUACAAAACACUACAAGGUUCAGACAAACUUUGUAAACUCCUAAAGUAAGACUUACCUUGAUAGUUGGUUGGUGAGGACAUACCUGUCAUGGAUUCAGGAUGUUGGUUACCGUAGCUACCCUCCUUUGCAACUGUUUUGACGCGACAGUUGAUGUAGAUGUACUAGAUCGGAAGGAUCAACCUCCUUGGUUAAUUUCUCUUCAUUCUAAGCCUUGUGUGUAUUAUUAUACAAACCUUACAUAAAGUUGGGCGUAUUGAAUAAAGCUAAUCCAUUGACAUAUAUUCAUUGCAGUAGACUAAAAUCAUGAGUUUAGUAUGUUUGUUUAAAUCUUCGCAUAUAUUUCUCAGCUGGUCAAUCACGUGAUCCAGAAACCAUUUCAUAUUGGGAGCUGUAGUUUCCAACUUUGGCAAACGACAUGUGCUCACUUCAUGCAAGCUCAAAAUUAAAUCUACAAUUCCCCCUCGUCAUGUUACACGUUGUUCAGCCUCGCAAAGAUCUGUGUUGUUAUUAGCGUCAUGACAGCAGCAUUAGCGUCUCGGCAGCAACAUUAAGACUUCCGGUUCGACAUUUUUUCUCCAAAACAAAAGUCUGGGGUAAAACACUAUCUGUAUGAUUUUUUUGCAGCUUUGCAUAGCCAUAGUGCAUAAUGUAAAUUUUUGUAUUAUAACUACAUCAGAAAAUCUGAACUAAAGAUAAUUACUACUCUAUAUAAGAUAAAUAAUGUUAUGUUUUUAAUAUAUAUGUAAUUAUAUAUUAUGUAUAGGACUGGUGAUAUGCUUACAAGUUUGUCUUGCUUCUUACAGAUCCUAUCACGGUUUCAAUUUAUUUCCAGUUUGUUUGAGUUGUAUUCCUGAUUAUAUGGCCUUGUGGUUUAUAGCUUCAUGUGUCUUGUCCUAGUAGCACCCUCUAGUGGCGUAAAGCCUCGUCUUAUCCUAGUUCUGUGAAACCAUAACGCUAUGUGAUGUACCCAGCUGUUGUCUUAUUAUCGUUUGCUAAUAAAUACGAAUUAUUAGGUAAUUUAGAGUUUGUGACUAUUUACCAAUGCAAC
Molecule: long non-coding RNA, 1482 nt
Organism: Oncorhynchus tshawytscha (Chinook salmon)
Lineage: Eukaryota; Metazoa; Chordata; Actinopteri; Salmoniformes; Salmonidae
Source: Ensembl